AUUGAACGCUGGCGGCAGGCCUAACACAUGCAAGUCGAGCGGCUGAAGGGAGCUUGCUCCUGGAUUCAGCGGCGGACGGGUGAGUAAUGCCUCGGAAUCUGCCUGGUAGCGGGGGAUAACGACGGGAAACGGGCGCUAAUACCGCAUACGCCCUGCGGGAGAAAGCGGGGGAUCUUAGGACCUCACGCUAUCAGAUGAGCCUAGGUCGGAUUAGCUAGUUGGUGGGGUAAAGGCCCACCAAGGCGACGAUCCGUAGCUGGUCUGAGAGGAUGAUCAGUCACACUGGAACUGAGACACGGCCCAGACUCCUACGGGAGGCAGCAGUGGGGAAUAUUGGACAAUGGGCGCAAGCCUGAUCCAGCCAUGCCGCGUGUGUGAAGAAGGUCUUCGGAUUGUAAAGCACUUUUGGUAGGGAGGAAGGGCAGUAAGUUAAUACCUUGCUGUUUUGACGUUACCAACAGAAUAAGCACCGGCUAACUUCGUG
RNAcentral lists this ribosomal RNA (484 nucleotides) under uncultured bacterium. RNAcentral's name for it is "partial 16S ribosomal RNA". It matches the Rfam family "Bacterial small subunit ribosomal RNA", at positions 30 to 507 of the family's 1533-position model. The record is from RNAcentral.